Molecule: ribosomal RNA, 2095 nt
Filed under: Acanthogyrus cf. tilapiae KMHS-2022
Lineage: Eukaryota; Metazoa; Acanthocephala; Eoacanthocephala; Gyracanthocephala; Quadrigyridae
Description: partial large subunit ribosomal RNA
Rfam family: Eukaryotic large subunit ribosomal RNA
Source: RNAcentral
GCAAUGAGUACACAUAAGGUUCAGUCUGUGCAAGUCAGGUGCGGCGGCGUGUUCACAUGUGUACUUUGGUAUGCUAUGUGUGAAUUGCUGCUGAUCCGCAUCGCAUUUUGCCGAUUGACGCGCUGCUUGUCUUUGUCUUGGUUGCAAUCAUAGCAACGUAUGCCGGUCGACUUUGUCGAUUCUGGCAAAUUGAUAGUGGUGUUGCACUUUUGUGCACGUACAUGGGAAACAUUUCGUCUUGGCGAAGUGUUAGUCAGCUUGGACAAAGAUUGUCAAACUCUGGUCCGGCGGCUUGUUGAUAGUCAUGUGCUUACAGCGGUUUUGGUGUGCUGUGGCUUCGGUUGCAGUAUGGCAAGGAUUGUUGUGUGGUGCAUGGUGUUUGUCGGUUGUUCGGAAUGAAAAGCAGGCCAUGUUGUGGCAUCAUUUGAACCGUCUUGAAACACGGGCUAAGGAGUUCAACAAAUGUGCAAGUUAUCUGGUCGAUUGAAACCAGACAGCGCAGUGAAAGCAAGUUGGUUUAUAAUUGUGAUAACUGUUAACACAGUUGUGUUAAUGGAUCAUCACUUUUGAUGGAUGGCACGUAAGGUACCGGUUGUCGUUCGCAAUCGAGCGCAUAUGUUGAGACCCGAAAGAUGGUGAACUAUGCCUGAGUAGGAUGAAGCCGGAGGAAACUCUGGUGGAGGUCCGUAGCGUUUUUGACGUGCAAAUCAAUCGUCAGACUUGGGUAUAGGGGCGAAAGACUAAUCGAACCAUCUAGUAGCUGGUUCCCUUCGAAGUUUCCCCCAGGAAAGCUGGUGUUGUAUCAGACAGUUUCGUCUGGUAAAGCGAAUGAUUAGAGGCAUUGGGGAUGAAUUGUCCUCGACCUAUUCUCAAACUUUAAAUGGGCGAAGAGCUCUGACACUACUUGAUUGAGUGUCGAGCUAGAAUGCAAUGGCACCAAGUGGGCCACUUUUGGUAAGCAGAACUGGCGAUGUGGGAUGAACCAAACGUUGAGCUAAGAUGCCAAAAAUGCCUCUCAUGAGAUACCAUGAAAGGUGUCAGUCGAUACUGACAGCAGGACGGUGGCCGCAGAAGUAGGAAUCCGCUAAGGAGUGUGUAACAACUCACCUGCCGAAUCGACUGGCCCUGAAAAUGGAUGGCGCUAGAGACGCAUAUCGAUGCUCAACCGUCAAUGCCAACAAAUACAGCGAAUGCAAUAUGGCUUGGCGUGUAGAAGGGCGAUUGCGGUGGCGUCGAAACCUGCACCGUGAGGUGGGGUUGAGCCGCCGCAUGUGCAGAUCUUGGUGGUAGUAGCAANNNNNNNNNNNNNNNNNNNNNNNNNNNNNNUGGAGUAAGGUUCCAUGUGAACAACAUUUGAACAUGGAUCAGCCGAUCCUAAGAGAACGGUUAAGUUCGUGAUUAAGUGCGUUGCGUUGUGCAAUGCAAUCGAAAGGGAAUCGGGUUAAUAUUCCCGAGCCAGGAUACGGUUGAUGUUCAACAUUCCAGAAGUGCCUCGUGCACUGAUGGUGUUGUGCAUAAGUGGUAACACUAACAAACCCAGAAAUUAACUAUACGAAGUCCGGGGAAGAGUUUUCUCUUCUUUGUAAGGAAUGUUAUCCCUGGAAUCAGAUUGUCUGGCGAUAGGGUACGCAUUCCGUAAUGCAGCGCGAUUCCUGCGAUGUACCGUGCGCUUCGUAUAGUGCUUGAAAAUCUGGGGGCGCGAUAGUUCAGACCGUACCUGUUCGUACUGAUUUCCGCAGCAGGUCUCCAAGGUGAGCAGCCUCUAGUCAAUAGGACAAAGUAGACAAGGGAAGUCGGCAAAUUAGAUCCGUAACUUCGGAAAAAGGAUUGGCUCUAAAAGCUGAGCUGGUCGGGCUAUCGCAAUAAGCUGUUAGCUAUGUCUUGGCUCUGUCUCAGUUGCUGUAUGCUCGCAAGGGUGUCGGCUUCGAGGACGGACCUCGGUUUUGCGUUCUGUGUAAGGUGAUGGCUAUGCUGCCUGGUUGAUGAGUGAUCAACUUCCAGGUAGAUCCGAUCAGCGUUAAACAGCUGACCUAGAACUGGUAUGGACAAGGGGAAUCCAACUGUUUAAUUAAAACAAAGCAUUGCGAUAGCUGUA